CACUCCUGCGGGAGGCAGCAGUGGGGAAUAUUGGACAAUGGGCGCAAGCCUGAUCCAGCCAUGCCGCGUGAGUGAUGAAGGCCCUAGGGUUGUAAAGCUCUUUCACCGGUGAAGAUAAUGACGGUAACCGGAGAAGAAGCCCCGGCUAACUUCGUGCCAGCAGCCGCGGUAAUACGAAGGGGGCUAGCGUUGUUCGGAUUUACUGGGCGUAAAGCGCACGUAGGCGGACUAUCAAGUCAGGGGUGAAAUCCCGGGGCUCAACCCCGGAACUGCCUUUGAUACUGGUAGUCUUGAGUUCGAGAGAGGUGAGUGGAAUUCCGAGUGUAGAGGUGAAAUUCGUAGAUAUUCGGAGGAACACCAGUGGCGAAGGCGGCUCACUGGCUCGAUACUGACGCUGAGGUGCGAAAGCGUGGGGAGCAAACAGGAUUAGAUACCCCUGUAGUCCCAU
This 448-nucleotide ribosomal RNA is filed under the name uncultured organism. RNAcentral describes it as "partial 16S ribosomal RNA". It matches the Rfam family "Bacterial small subunit ribosomal RNA", at positions 334 to 798 of the family's 1533-position model. The record is from RNAcentral.